GAUGAAGAACUUAGCGAAAUGCGAUACUUGGUGUGAAUUGCAGAAUCCCGUGAACCAUCGAGUCUUUGAACGCAAGUUGCGCCCGAAGCCACUAGGCCGAGGGCACGCCUGCCUGGGCGUCACGCGUCGUUGCCCCCCCAUCUACUCCUUCGGGAUUGCGGGGGGGCGGAUGAUGGCCUCCCGUGCGCCUAGCCGCGCGGUUGGCAUAAAUACCAAGUCCUCGGCGACGCACGCCACGACAAUCGGUGGUUGCGAAACCUCGGUUGCCCGUCGUGUGCGUUCGUCGCGCAUCGAGGGCUCGAAAAAAUGCUCGGCUCCGGCUGGGCUUUCAACGCGACCCCAGGUCAGGCGGGGUUACCCGCUGAAUUUAAGCAUAUCAAUAAGCGGAGGA
Molecule: unclassified non-coding RNA, 391 nt
Filed under: soil metagenome
Description: partial contains 5.8S ribosomal RNA, internal transcribed spacer 2, and large subunit ribosomal RNA
Rfam family: 5.8S ribosomal RNA (bases 1-122)
Source: RNAcentral